CAGCCGUAAACUAUGCGCGUUAGGUGUAUCGGUGACCACGAGUUACCGAGGUGCCGAAGGGAAACCGUGAAACGUGCCGCCUGGGAAGUACGGUCGCAAGGCUGAAACUUAAAGGAAUUGGCGGGGGAGCACCACAACAGGUGGAGCCUGCGGUUUAAUUGGACUCAACGCCGGGAAGCUCACCAGAUAGGACAGCAGAAUGAUUGCCGGGCUGAAGACUCUGCAUGACUAGCUGAGAGGAGGUGCAUGGCGUAGACGUCU
This 261-nucleotide ribosomal RNA is filed under the name uncultured archaeon. RNAcentral describes it as "partial 16S ribosomal RNA". It matches the Rfam family "Archaeal small subunit ribosomal RNA", at positions 748 to 1009 of the family's 1478-position model. The record is from RNAcentral.